RNAcentral lists this ribosomal RNA (913 nucleotides) under uncultured archaeon. RNAcentral's name for it is "bacterial SSU rRNA". It matches the Rfam family "Archaeal small subunit ribosomal RNA", at positions 4 to 922 of the family's 1478-position model. The record is from RNAcentral.
CUGGUUGAUCCUGCCAGAGGUUACUGCUAUCGAGGUUCGACUAAGCCAUGCGAGUCGAAUGUAGCAAUACAUGGCGUACUGCUCAGUAACACGUGGACAACCUGCCCUUGAGACGGGGAUAAACCCGGGAAACUGGGUAUAAUACCCGAUAGAUCUCGAUUGCUGGAAUGCAUCGAGCUUGAAAGCUCCGGCGCUCAAGGAUGGGUCUGCGGCCUAUCAGGUAGUAGUGGGUGUAGCGUACCUACUAGCCUACGACGGGUACGGGUUGUGAGAGCAAGAGCCCGGAGAUGGAUUCUGAGACACGAAUCCAGGCCCUACGGGGUGCAGCAGGCGCGAAAACUUUACAAUGCUGGAAACAGCGAUAAGGGGACCUCGAGUGCCAGGUUACAAAUCUGGCUGUCGUGAUGCCUAAAAAGCAUUGCAUAGCAAGGGCCGGGCAAGACCGGUGCCAGCCGCCGCGGUAACACCGGCGGCUCGAGUGGUAACCGUUAUUAUUGGGUCUAAAGGGUCUGUAGCCGGCCGGAUAAGUCUCUUGGGAAAUCUGGCAGCUUAACUGUCAGGCUUUCAGGAGAUACUGUCUGGCUCGAGGCCGGGAGAGGUGAGAGGUACUUCAGGGGUAGGGGUGAAAUCUUGUAAUCCUUGAAGGACCACCAGUGGCGAAGGCGUCUCACCAGAACGGACCUGACGGCAAGGGACGAAAGCUAGGGGCACGAACCGGAUUAGAUACCCGGGUAGUCCUAGCCGUAAACGAUACUCGCUAGGUGUCGGCAACGGUGCGACCGUUGUCGGUGCCGUAGGGAAGCCGUGAAGCGAGCCACCUGGGAAGUACGGCCGCAAGGCUGAAACUUAAAGGAAUUGGCGGGGGAGCACCACAACGGGUGGAGCUUGCGGUUUAAUUGGAUUCAACGCCGGG